Molecule: ribosomal RNA, 441 nt
Filed under: uncultured bacterium
Lineage: Bacteria
Description: bacterial SSU rRNA
Rfam family: Bacterial small subunit ribosomal RNA
Source: RNAcentral
AGAGUUUGAUCCUGGCUCAGAAUCAACGCUGGCGGCGUGCCUCAGACAUGCAAGUCGAACGCGAAAGUUCCCUUCGGGGAGCAAGUAGAGUGGCGCACGGGUGAGUAACACGUAGGUAAUCUACCUUCGGAUGGGGAAUAACAACCGGAAACGGUUGCUAAUACCGCAUAAUGCAGCGGCACCUAAUGGUGACAGUUGUUAAAGCGGGGGAUCGAAAGACCCCGCGUCUGAAGAGGAGCCUGCGGCAGAUUAGCUAGUUGGUAAGGUAACGGCUUACCAAGGCGAUGAUCUGUAGCCGGCCUGAGAGGGCGGUCGGCCACACUGACACUGAUAUACGGGUCAGACUCCUACGGGAGGCAGCAGUCGGGAAUUUUGGGCAAUGGGCGAAAGCCUGACCCAGCAACGCCGCGUGAAGGAUGAAAUCCUUCGGGAUGUAAACUU